This 479-nucleotide ribosomal RNA is filed under the name uncultured bacterium. RNAcentral's name for it is "partial 16S ribosomal RNA". It matches the Rfam family "Bacterial small subunit ribosomal RNA", at positions 28 to 507 of the family's 1533-position model. The record is from RNAcentral.
GAUGAACGCUAGCGGGAGGCCUAACACAUGCAAGCCGAGCGGUAGAGUUUCUUCGGUACCUUGAGAGCGGCGCACGGGUGCGUAACACGUGUGCAACCUACCUUUAUCUGGGGGAUAGCCUUUCGAAAGGAAGAUCAAUACCCCAUAAUAUAAUGAUUGGCAUCAAUUAUUAUUGAAAACUCCGGUGGAUAGAGAUGGGGACGCGCAAGAUUAGAUAGUUGGUGAGGUAACGGCUCACCAAGUCAAUGAUCUUUAGGGGUCCUGAGAGGGAGACCCCCUAGACUGGUGCCGCGACACAGACCACUAUCCUACGCGACGCUGCAGUGUGGAAUACAGGGCGAGGGAUGAGAACCUGGUCCAGCCGCCCCGCUUGAAAGAUGACGCUCCUAUGAAUAGUAAACUACUUUUGAAGAAGGAUAAACCUACCAUCGGGAGGGUAGCUGACGGUACUGAACGAAUAAGCACCGGCUAACUCCGUG